Myodes glareolus (Bank vole) is the source of this 1245-nucleotide non-coding RNA. Lineage: Eukaryota; Metazoa; Chordata; Mammalia; Rodentia; Cricetidae. The record is from RefSeq and is a predicted model, not a curated record.
CUGAAGUAAAGGUCUUGGAGUGACUGCUGUUCCGUGAGAUGUGGGAAGUCUCUUGCUGAAGAAAGUGUCAUGGGCUUGGAUUGUUUCCACAGGGCCGCACUUAUGAGUUCAUGAGGACAAACUGUCCCUGCGUCUCCAACCAAGGAAAGAUCUGCUGAAGACAGGCUUCACUCAUGACCUGCUUUACGACCUCUGGAGAGAGAACACCACGUCUCCGUGCCUUAUCUUCCCUGUGCAAUCCUCUCAGCCCAUAAAGCCCAUCACUCAUAGAUGAACUGGAGACUUCUCUGGAAAACUCUGAGUGGGGAAAUAAAAGUGAACAUUGGAACGGACAAAACAGCCACAGCCUCUGAACUGUUGUCCUUAAACCAAACAUCUCUGUGUGAGGUUAAUCACGUGGGUCUCCUGGAGAUGUAGCCUUGUGAGGACUUCUCUAGGUACCGUGUUUACUGACAUUCCAAAGUUUGUUGCGUAUCUUUCAUAAAAUGUUGGGCUUCUCAGGAGUUCAAGUUAUGUACAUCACCUUGUCCUUUCUUCUUUGUUCUGAAAGUUCCCAUUUAAAAUAUGCAUUUCCUAUACACCGACAUUGUGCUACGUAUGAACCUCUAGGAUUUUGUAGCAAAGAGUAUAUUCCAGUCUGUGGAACCAAUGGCCGUACUUAUGGUAACAUAUGCAUUUUCUGUAUUGCAUACAGAAAAACCCGUGGUUUCAUUAUGUUCUCACAUGAUGGUGAAUGCUGAGUUUUAAUGGAGCUACAUAUCCCUGGGGAUCUUAUCAUGAUCACAGUUUUGCCCUGAAGUCUACAGUGGAUCAGAGAUUUUGUUAUCAGGUUCCCAAAGCCCUAGAAGAUUGGGUGAAUCUCUCUGUAGGAUACACAUGAGAAGACUAGACUGUCAUUGUUCUUUUCAUUUCUCAGGUCCUCUGGUCUCAAGGUUUUACUUCAUAUGAUGAACUACUUAUUGACAGUUAAAUUCCUAAAUCUUAAUUUUCCAUUCUGUAAACUGACAACUUAAAACCAUCAAUGCUCUAGUUAUGGUUCUUCAUAAAAUCUUAAACUCCACUCUUUAUUGAGAAAAUCUUUAGGGAGUUAGAAAUAUUUCCCAGUGGUUAGGGAAGCUUGAUAAUCUCUGUGAGAACCCAAGUUUGGUUUCCAGUGCUCAUAUCAGGUUUCUUAGAACCUCCAUCUUCAGGAAGUCUCAUACUAUCUUCUGUCUCCCACAGACACCUGCAUAGACAUGUUGUACA